GUUGUGUUUUCUGGGAAUCAGCAAGUAAGAUCACAAGUGGUCUUUUCUUUUAUUCACUCUCUCCCAUAAAGAAAGCUUUAUCACGUGUGGCCUUAAACUUGCAGCAAAUUGCAAAGAAAUGGCUCAAAAGCUUCAGCUCUUUCUGUGCCCUGGGAGCUGAGAUGCACGUCAGUGGCCUUGCCAGCGUGGCCAAUUCUCUGCUGACUGCCAGAAAAAAGAGGCCAGGAAGAAAGAGGAAAGAGAAGAGAUCGCUCAGGGUCUGUGGUGUGUGGUCCAUCCUCUUGCUGAGCACAUUGAAAGGAACUGGCUAUCUUUGAUCUCUUCCUCCAGUUGCAAAUGAAGAGAGAGAGCCUGCAGGCCCCAAGGAUCUUUCCGUUCAUGUCAUUGAGCUUCCUUCCCUCUCUUUUUACAGGGGAUGAACUGUAGCCUCCUUGGAACAUACUACACUUGCAAUAAUUUGCGCAUUAACCAUCAAGACACUUCAGUAAAGCUAUGCAGUGCCAAUAGUUUAAGCUGGAUCCUAUUUUGCCCUAACACAAAGUGAACUGAGAUGACUA
RNAcentral lists this long non-coding RNA (557 nucleotides) under Homo sapiens (human). RNAcentral describes it as "non-protein coding lnc-SLCO1C1-1:1". The record is from RNAcentral. Lineage: Eukaryota; Metazoa; Chordata; Mammalia; Primates; Hominidae.